RNAcentral lists this transfer RNA (72 nucleotides) under Camelus bactrianus (Bactrian camel). It matches the Rfam family "tRNA". Rfam says of the family: Transfer RNA (tRNA) molecules are approximately 80 nucleotides in length. The record is from Rfam by way of RNAcentral. Lineage: Eukaryota; Metazoa; Chordata; Mammalia; Artiodactyla; Camelidae. RNAcentral also lists the same sequence under 2 other names.
AGGGAUAUAACUCAGUGGUAGAGUGUGUGCUUAGCAUGCAUGAGGUCUCGGGUUCGACCCCCAGUACUUCCA